Molecule: ribosomal RNA, 253 nt
Filed under: uncultured bacterium
Lineage: Bacteria
Description: partial 16S ribosomal RNA
Rfam family: Bacterial small subunit ribosomal RNA
Source: RNAcentral
UACGAAGGGGGCUAGCGUUGCUCGGAUUGACUGGGCGUAAAGGGCGCGUAGGCGGUUCGUACAGUCAGACGUGAAAUUCCUGGGCUCAACCUGGGGGCUGCGUUUGAUACUUGCGGACUUGAGUGCGGAAGAGGGUCGUGGAAUUCCCAGUGUAGAGGUGAAAUUCGUAGAUAUUGGGAAGAACACCGGUGGCGAAGGCGGCGACCUGGUCCGAUACUGACGCUGAGGCGCGAAAGCGUGGGGAGCAAACAGG